ACUAGUAGUAGCUAAACAAAUAAAAUAAACAUAUGCUAAAUAAAUAAAAGGGAUAAUUGCUUAUAUACUUCUCAUACGUUUGAAAAUAUUCAAUUUGCCCAUUUUUCUUUCUUUCUAAAAUACCUCUCAUAUGUUCCACUUUAACUUGGGUUAAACAUGAGUUAAAUAUCUAUCACAGUUAAAAAAAAUUAAAAUGCCAAUUUUGCUCUUAACUUAAAGGCAAAUAAGAAAAAAGUUGGUGAUGACAGAGGGGUAUAUUGAAAAAAAUCAAAAAUCAAAAUAUUUUUUGUGCCCUUGACUUUAAGGGCAAAUAAGAAAGACAGUGAUAGUGGAAUGGUAUAUUUGAAAGGGCAAAAUAAUAAUUUUACAGAGAUAACAGAGUUAAUUAAUAGAUUUUAACUCUAGGAGUACAUUAGAAAUAGGUUGGAACGUAAAAAGGGUAAUUUCAAUAUUAGCCUUCUAAGAGGGGUAAAUUAGAAAGUCGGAAACUUUUCAGGGAUAUAUACGCAAUU
Molecule: long non-coding RNA, 512 nt
Filed under: Ananas comosus (pineapple)
Lineage: Eukaryota; Viridiplantae; Streptophyta; Magnoliopsida; Poales; Bromeliaceae
Description: long non-coding RNA (ACOM_LNC004872)
Source: RNAcentral